RNAcentral lists this small RNA (28 nucleotides) under Bombyx mori (domestic silkworm). Its description in RNAcentral is "ovarian small RNA-19845". The record is from RNAcentral. Lineage: Eukaryota; Metazoa; Arthropoda; Insecta; Lepidoptera; Bombycidae.
UAAUGUGAUGCCGAAAUUGCAAGUUUUA